UUCUAUUUUUAUAGAUAGGGUAACUCAAGGCCUAAAGAAGUUAAUAACUUGCUCAAGAUACAUUGCUAAUUAGCGCCAGACGUGGGAAUUUCCUUCAAGCCAGUGAGGAGUCUCAUUUCUCUUCCAUCAUUCCGGGAAAUUAAAGUUUAUUAUACUGAAUUUGGUUCAACCAUGCUAGCAUAGCCUUCCAUUAUGGAUAAUAGGGAAUUGACUGCAUUAGGUUAAAUGUUCUACCACAAUAGCAGUAGUAGUACCAUUCGUUUUAUACAAAGUUUGAAAACAAUUACCAACAUUUGCUAUCUGACUUGUCUUCCCUCCAUCCCCCAAAACCUUACAAGAUACAUAGAAUACAGAAAGGGGUUUGUGCCACAGGAUGUGAAAGGACUUGUCAGAACUGAAUAUUGACUUUUGCCCAAGUUACCUUGUAUAUAGCUGACUCUGAUAUGAAAAGUCAUUAUUGCUGCAUCAUAUGACUUAAGCAAACACCAGACCUGGAGUCAAAGUGCUAGUGUCUAACUGUAAUGUGUACAGAAUGGCCAUUUUCUCCCUUGAUGGGCAAAGAAGGUAUGUAAGUUAUCAAUUACAUAACAAACCACUGCAAAACUUAAUGGCUUAAAUUUUUAAAAAUUCUUUUCAAAGAGAUUCUAUGAAUUGACUGUUUCUUCUGCUACCACCUAGAGUCACAUGGAACAGCAUUCAUCUGAUGACAGAAGAACGAAAUGACUGAGAUAGCCAAAGGUAAUCAGAACUAUCUAGAAAAUAGCCAAGAACAAGGAAGGAAGCAAAACAACAACAGAGGGUUCUGGUUCAAGAUGACAACAUAGGAAAACCCUGAUCUCACUUCUUCUCACACACUGAGUCUACAGCUACCUACAGAACAAUUUUCUCUUAAAAAAACCUAAAGACUGGCUAAGUGAUGACCACAUCAGGCAAACAAGAGGAAAACCACCUCAAACUGGGCGGGAGGCUGGGAUACAAUCUUGCCAUAAACCCCAUCCCCAGCACAGUGGCACACAACCCAGAGAAAACUCAAAACCUGAAGCUUCUCCCUGAGGAGCAAAGGGUUUUAUUUCCACAUCAGUAACCUCAACUUUUAGGACCUGCACCAGAGAGAUGACCCCCAACAUCUUUGAAAACUAAGAGGACCCACAAGACUGUAGUAAUCUGGGAGACAUUUCUUAAAGGGCCCAUGCACUGAGAAGAGCACCAGGGCUCAGCUCAUCCAUCAGCCAAUCACACCCAGACUUAAAGUGAAAGAGGCUGGAAGAUCAGGAACAAGACAAGGAUGACCACUAUCACCACUUUUAUUCAACAUAGUAUUGGAAGUCCUAGCCACGGCAAUGAGACAAGAAAUAGAAACAAAAGGAAUCCAAAUUGAAGAAGUAAAGCUGUCAUUGUUUGCAGAUGACAUGAUACCAUACAUAGAAAAUCCUAAAGACACCACUGGAAAACUACUAGAACUCAUCAAUGAAUACAGUAAAGUUGUAUAAUACAAAAUUAAUAUACAAAAAUUUGUUGCAUUUCAAUACACUAACAACAAACUAUCAGAGAAAAUAAGAAAACAAUCCCAUUUACAAUCACAUGCAAAGAAUGAAAUACCUAGGAUAAAAUCUAAGGAGGUAAAAUGACUACUCGGAAAACUAUAAGAAAUUAAUGAAAAAAAUUGAAGACAAUACAAACAAAUGGAAAGAUAUACCAUGCUCAUGGAUUGGAAAAAUUAAUAUUGUUAAAAUGAACUUACUACCCAGGGCAGUCUACAGAUUCAGUGCAAUCCUUAUGAAAAUACCAAUAGCAUUUUUCACAGAACUAUAACAAAUAAUUCUGAAAUUUCCAUGGAAAUACAAAAGACCCUAAAUAUCCAAAGCAAUCUUGAGAGAGAACAAAGCUGGAAGUAUCACACUUCCUGAAUUCAAACUAUACUACAAAACUACAGUAGUGAAAAACCCACAUUUAUACAGAAAUUAACCUACAACAAAGGAGGCAAGAAAAUACAAUGGGGAACAGAUAACCUUUUUGGUAAAUUGUGUCGGGAAAACUGGACAGGAACAUAGAAAAGAAUCAAACAGGACAACUUUCUCACCCCUUAUGUAUAAAUAAACUCAUAAUGGAUUAAAGACUCAAAUGUAAGACCUGAAAUCAUAAAACAUCUAGAAGGAAACAGAGAGAGUGCAUUCUUUGACAUUCUUCUUAGCAAUAUAUUUUUGGAUAUGUCUCCUUUGGCAAAGGAAACAAAAGAAAACAUAAACAAAUGGAACCUAAUCAAACUAAAAAGGUUUUGCACAGUGGCAGAAACUAUUGACAAAGUGAAAAGGCCGCCUAAUGAAUGGGAACAGAUAUUUGCAAAUGAUAUAUCUGAUGAGGGGUUAAUAUCCGCAAUAUACAACUAAACAUGAAAAAAAAAAAGGAAAAAAACCCAAUAAGCUGAUUAAAACAUGGGCAGAGGACCUGAAGAGUUUCCAAAGAAGACAUAUAGAUGGCCAACAGGCACAUGAAAAGAUGCUCAACAUCACUAAUCAUUAGAGAAAUGCAAAUCAAAUAUACAAUGAGAUACGACCUCACAACUUUCAGAAUGGUUAUUAUCCAAAAGACAAGGAACAAUGAGUGUCAGCGAAGAUGUGGAGAAAAGGGAACCCUCAUGCACUGUUGGUAGGAAUGUAAAUUGGUGCAGCCACUAUGGAAAAUAGUAUGGAGAUUUAUCAAAAGCUAAAAGUAAAACUACCAUAUGAUCCAGCAAUUCCACACCUGGGUAUAUAUAAGAAGAAAAGGAAAACACUAAUUCAGAAGGCCAACAGCUGAAGUUUCUGUGGAAAUGCUAGAGGCCAGAAGAGAGUGGCAUCUGGCAUCAUAUAUUUAAAGUGUAGUAAACGUAAAUGAGUAUAAUCUAUAAAUAUAUUGAAUCACUGUGUUGUACACCUGAAAACAAUAUAAUAUUGUAAAUCAACUAUACUUCAGUUUAAAAAUAAGAAAAGAAAUUACGUUUUUUCUCGUGGUGAAUUCAGGCUGAGUUAAAUCAUACUUGUAUCUUUUUGAAUAUUCCUGGGUGCACUGAUUUUUAAAAAAAUCCUCCAGUAUUGCAUACAACACAUUUACACAGUGGUACAUUCUUCUUUUCUAAAUAUUAAUGUGUGUGUUAAUAUGAUCCACAAGAGGAUUAGUCAAGUGAGAUAAGCUGUUCAUGGUAACUUCCUUAUUUUGAGUUGAUUCAAUUUACAAGCAGUUCUAUGUAGAAAUGAUUUUUGAAAAGACAAGGAAAAGGAAGUAUGAAACAGUGAUGAUCAUGAUAGUGAUGCACUCUUCUGGAAAGAGCUAAAAAGAAGCUAAAGUCAGAAUUUUUUUAUAAAUCAAUUCUUUUGAGGUAUAGUCAGCAUACAAUAAAAUGCACAGAUUUAAGGAUGUGGCUUGAUGAGUUUUGACUUGUAAGCACCAUCCUGUCUUAGUCUGUUUGGACUGCUAUAAUAAAAUACCUUAGACUCGGUGUCUUAUAAACAAGAAUACUUAAUUUCUCACAGUUCUGAAGGCUAGUAAGUCCAAAAUCAAGGCACCAGCAGAUUUAGUGUCUGGUGAGAACCACUUCCUGGCUCAUAGAUGACUCCUUCUCACUGUAACCACACAGGGCAGAAGGGGUGAAGGAUCUCUCUGAGUCCUCUUCUAUAAAAGCACUAAUCACCUUCCAAAGACCCCACCUGCUAAUACCACCACCUUGGGGGUUAGGAUUUAAAACGUUCAUCUUGAGCACACCCCAAUCAAGAUUCAGAAGUUUCCCAUCACUCCAGAAACUUCCCUCCAUCCCUCCCUUCCCUCACAUCACAAAAACAGUGAUUUUAUUUCUGUUCCCCUAUAUUAUUUUUUGGACUAUUCCAGAACUUCAUACAAAUGAAGUCCUGUAUGAAGUUUCUUUGGUCUGAUUUCUUUCUAUCAUCAUAAUAUCUAUGAGAUAGAUACAUCCAUGUUCUUACACAUGUUGGAAACUUGUUCAGAUUUACUUAGGAUUAUCGUACUAAAUGAAUAUGCCAGUUUGCCAUUCAUCUAUUCAGUACUGGUUGUUUUUUUCCAGUCUGUGGAAUAAACUUGUGAAUAAUGCUGCUAUAAAUAUCCACAUACCACUGUGGGGAACGUCCUAUGGCUGGAAUCACUGAGAUGUAGAGCAAGUAUAAGUUUAACUUUAUUAGAAACUAUUAUUAUCCACCCUACCUUUUCUACUCGUGACACUAUUUAUUCUUUCAUUCCGUUAAUCACCCCCAACACAUUCCAUUUUUAUAAAGUAUGAGAGAAUCUGGUUCUUUCCUCAAAAUUCUUACACAAAGAAGCUUCCAUUCUCCUCUCCAUUUUGUAAUUUCUUAAUUACAAAUUGAAGCCUUGUCUCAUUUUGGUUUCAGGAAAAAUAUGUCAAUCACUGUCUUAAAAUUGCACGACACCCACUGAUUCUUCCCCUGUGACUUCUCCAAGAGGCCACGGGACCACUCAGCCCAAGCUAUACACUCCGUUUUUCCUAAUUUCUCCCAUGUUUCCUCCUCUCUAAGAGCCCUGUGCCAGGAUCCCCAGGAUCACUUAGCACAGCCCCUCCCCCUUAUGAAUACACCAUUGUUAUGUAAGAGCUUCCCUCUCCCUCCUCCACCUCUCUGGGGAUGCCCAGCCUCCAGCCUCUCUCUGCUCUCCUCAGGACUAGACUGCUUUUUAGGAGUUGCUGUUGCAGGGAUAGUCUUGCCUGCCUCCCGCUGGAGUGGAUUUCUUUGGUCACAGGCUUCUUCACUCAUGGGGCCUGCCUGGGCCCAGGCCCACCUGGCAGAUGAUCUCUGGCUGCCUCUGCUCUGACUACUCCUGUUUCCGACCUGCUGCUCCCAUGACCCCCCAGGUUGGCGCUUCACUUCCUCUGAAAUUGUGAUCCCCAGGAAGGUGUCCCACAGAGUGCGUGGAGCCACAACACAAGGCCAGCUCUCCUACAAGUUUCGCUUCAGUGGCCAAAGACACGUGCUUCACAUGAGAGUCAAGAAGAGCUUGCUGCCCAGGCAUUUUCCUGUUAAUCACCGAUAACGACCAAGGUGCCAUGCAGGAGGACUACCCUUUUAUCCCCCGAGACUGUUACUACUUUAGCUACCUGGAAGGGGUUCCUGGGUCCAUGGGCACACUGGACACCUGCUAUGGGGGUCUGCGUGGCAUGCUGCAGGUGGAUGACUUCACUUAGGAAAUCAAACCACUGGAGGCUUCUUCCAAAUUUGAACAUCUGAUUUUUUUUUUUAACAUCUUCAUUGGAGUAUAAUUGCUUUACAAUGGUGUGUUAGUUUCUGCUUUAUAAAAAAGUGAAUCAGUUAUACAUAUA
Orcinus orca (killer whale) is the source of this 5317-nucleotide long non-coding RNA. RefSeq lists it as uncharacterized. Lineage: Eukaryota; Metazoa; Chordata; Mammalia; Artiodactyla; Delphinidae. The transcript is spliced from 2 exons. The record is from RefSeq and is a predicted model, not a curated record.